AAUGAAAUGGCUCGAUUGACGCUGGCGGCAGGCCUAACACAUGCAAGUCGAGCGGUAGCACAGAGAGCUUGCUCUCGGGUGACGAGCGGCGGACGGGUGAGUAAUGUCUGGGAAACUGCCUGAUGGAGGGGGAUAACUACUGGAAACGGUAGCUAAUACCGCAUAACGUCGCAAGACCAAAGUGGGGGACCUUCGGGCCUCAUGCCAUCAGAUGUGCCCAGAUGGGAUUAGCUAGUAGGUGGGGUAACGGCUCACCUAGGCGACGAUCCCUAGCUGGUCUGAGAGGAUGACCAGCCACACUGGAACUGAGACACGGUCCAGACUCCUACGGGAGGCAGCAGUGGGGAAUAUUGCACAAUGGGCGCAAGCCUGAUGCAGCCAUGCCGCGUGUGUGAAGAAGGCCUUCGGGUUGUAAAGCACUUUCAGCGGGGAGGAAGGCGUUAAGGUUAAUAACCUCGUCGAUUGACGUUACCCGCAGAAGAAGCACCGGCUAACUCCGUGCCAGCAGCCGCGGUAAU
Molecule: ribosomal RNA, 518 nt
Filed under: Klebsiella pneumoniae
Lineage: Bacteria; Pseudomonadati; Pseudomonadota; Gammaproteobacteria; Enterobacterales; Enterobacteriaceae
Description: bacterial SSU rRNA
Rfam family: Bacterial small subunit ribosomal RNA
Source: RNAcentral